RNAcentral lists this transfer RNA (72 nucleotides) under Candidatus Melainabacteria bacterium. Its description in RNAcentral is "tRNA-Thr". It matches the Rfam family "tRNA". Rfam says of the family: Transfer RNA (tRNA) molecules are approximately 80 nucleotides in length. RNAcentral also lists the same sequence under 1 other name. Lineage: Bacteria; Bacillati; Candidatus Melainabacteria. The record is from RNAcentral.
GCCGAUGUAGCUCAGGGGUAGAGCAACGGUUUCGUAAACCGUAGGUCGCGGGUUCGAAUCCCAUCAUCGGCU